GGUUCUAGUUGAUGGAAGUCUUCAACAGAGAUGGAGCCAUUCUGCUGUUUGUGUUUCUGAGGACAAGACAUUGACCCACUGUAAAUUCACUGAAGUCCUGCCCCAUCUUAGGACAACACCCUGGGUUUAUCUUGGUGAAGUGAGUUCUAGCUGCCUCCUCUUAAGGACCGUGAGAGAUGUUUGCUAAGCAUGCAGACUCCCAGGUCUCAACCCAGCAAGUCUGAGGCAAACCCAGACAUCUGUAUGUUUAACAAGUAUUCUAGGUGACUCUCAUGUCCAGGUGAGUUAAGUUUAGAAUCUUGUUCUAAUGAGGCUUCUGACAGGAAGACGGAAAUCAGGUUAACUUGAGUGCAGGCAGUACCCUUACCUGAUUAUACUUGUGCCCUAUAAAUUUAUAUAAAUAGAAAACUUUUAAAAACAGAGGUUCUUUUUAUAAUUUCACACUUUAUUACGAGCAGGUUUUUUGUCUCAUUUUGUUUUUUGAGACAGGGUCUCAGUCUGUUACUCAGGCUGGAGUGCAGUGAUGUGAUCAGCCUAAGUCUCCACACUUAAGUGGAGUGCAAAUGGGAGACAUCCUGGUUGUUUUGGUGUUUUUUUUGUUUUUAUUCGCUUUUUAGAGAUGAGGGUCUCACUGUGUUGCUCAGGCUGGACUGGAACUCCUGGGCUCAAGUGAUCCUCUCAAGCCACCUCCCAAGUAGCUGGGACUACAGGCAUGCACUGCACAUGGCUUGUGUUUUGAUUCAGAACAGGUAGAAAUUCAUCUAUAUGAAUUUCUGUAUAUCAGGUAGAUUAAUUUCUGCCUGUUCUGAAUCAAAACAAAAACAAGCCAUGGAUGGGAAGGGGUAUAGGAAAGUGGGAGGCAACGCCCAAGUUCGGAAAGGCUUGUGUGGUGGGGAGAAGAAAAGAAAAACCUGGGCUGGGCGCUAAGCCACACACCUGUAAUUCCAAAACUUUGGGAGGCCGAGGUGGGGGGAUUGCUGGAGCCCAGAAGUGUGAGACCAGCCUGGGCAACACAGCAAAACCCCGUCUCUACCAAAAAAAAAAAAAAAGGGAAAGAAAAAAACCCGGAAAGCCAGGUUUCCUGCAUUCUGCCUUUCUAGGCAGGGCCAGAGUAAGCUGCUGCUGGGUGGGCUGCGUGAAAGCUAGUGAGUAUGCAACAAGCCUGGCCCUUGGGAAGCAGUAACCACAGGUCAAAGAGCAAAGCAGUGACAACACUGCCUGCCCUCAAGACUGGGCCAGGGCCUGGGAUUGGGCCACUGGGCCAACACCUCAGUAAGGAGUUUUUUUUAUUUUUUUUUGAGAUGGAGUCUCCCUCUGUCGCCCAGGCUGACCUCAGGUGAACCGCCCAUCUCAGCCUCCCAAAGUGCCGGGAUUACAGCCGUGAGCCACCACACCUGGCUUGGGGGUUAGAUCUUUACCUUGUCCUACUUUAAAAAUCAAUGAGGCCAGGUACAGUGGUGCAUACCUAUGGUCCCAACUAUUCAGGAGGAUCACUUGAGCCUGAGAGGUUGAGGCCUGCAGUGAGUCAUGAUCACGCCACUGCACUCCAGCCUGGGUGACAAAGGGAGAUCCUGUUCCAAAAAAGAAAGGUAGGGGAAAGGGUUAGGCAUGGUAGUUCCUGCCUGUAAUCCCAGCACUUUGGGAGGCCAAGGCAGGUGGAUCACUUGAGGUCAGGAGUUCGAGAACAGCCUGGCCAACAUGGGGAAACCCCGUCUCUACUGAAAAUACAAAAAUUAGCUGGGUGUGGUGGCGGUUGCCUGUAAUCCCAGCUACUUGGGAGGCUGAAGCAGAGAAUCACUUGAACCCAGGAGGCGGAGGUUGCAGUGAGCUGAGAUUGUGACACUGCACUCCAGCCUGGGCAACAGAGUGAGACUCUGUCUCAAAAAAAAAAAAAAAAAGACUCAAAACAAAACAAAAAACAAAAAAAAAAUCAAUGAAGCUGUGGGGACAGAAGUAAGCCAGGCCUUGAAGUGCUGUUAGUGAUAGAAUGGGGGAAUCAGAGGGUGGCCACCAAAUCCUAGACAGUUCAGGGGGCAGGAAACACAUCCCUGCCCUGGGUACCAGCCCCUCCACCUCACCCCCAGCCAUUUUCUAUGCUCAGAACAAAGUCCAGGACAAGACCUGCAUCUAGACUGUAAUCUCACUGCUCACCAGCUCCUUUAACAGGGGGAACAUCAGUCCUGGAGAUGCAGAGGUGGAGGCUGGACCAAGACAGUAUCAUUUUCCCAGGACCUGGCGUCAUCCUCAACAGCUUAAGGAGAGACAGAUUCCAUUCUGUUCCACUCUCUAUGGCCUUGGCUGCCCUAACCUGGUAGAGGGGGAGAGGCUGGGACCAGGCUAUGAGGGGGCCCCUCACUCCCAGUUCAGCCCCCAGAGCCGCUGCAAUGGACGCAGGGAGGCUUCAGCAGUGUAUCCCUCCUACCCACUGGGCCUAGCCUGGAAGUGUGAGGUAGAGUUGCAGUGUGGGUGCUCACGGGAGAUCUGGUGCGGGCACAGCUCCCCCAGGACUUGCUGCCAUUCUUUCCUUCCAAUAAGCCACAG
RNAcentral lists this long non-coding RNA (2541 nucleotides) under Homo sapiens (human). RNAcentral describes it as "HSALNT0106302". Lineage: Eukaryota; Metazoa; Chordata; Mammalia; Primates; Hominidae. The record is from RNAcentral.